GGAAGUAAAAAGUCGUAACAAGGUUUCCGUAGGUGAACCUGCGGAAGGAUCAUUAUUGUAUAACCGAGGUGCGAGGGCUGUCGCUGACCCGAAAGGUCGUGCACGCCCGAGUGCCCUCACACACAUCCAUCUCACCCCUAUGUGCACCACCGCGUGGGUCCCCCUUUGGCUUGUUCGGAGGGGGGCUUACGUUUUCACACAAACCUUGUAUGCAGUGUAGAAUGUAUUUUUUGUUUUUGCGAUCACGCAAUCAAUACAACUUUCAACAACGGAUCUCUUGGCUCUC
Molecule: unclassified non-coding RNA, 286 nt
Filed under: plant metagenome
Description: partial contains small subunit ribosomal RNA, internal transcribed spacer 1, and 5.8S ribosomal RNA
Rfam family: Eukaryotic small subunit ribosomal RNA (bases 1-55)
Source: RNAcentral